AUUGAACGCUGGCGGCAGGCCUAACACAUGCAAGUCGAACGAGUGGCGGACGGGUGAGUAAUGUCUGGGAAACUGCCUGAUGGAGGGGGAUAACUACUGGAAACGGUAGCUAAUACCGCAUACCAUCAGAUGUGCCCAGAUGGGAUUAGCUUGUUGGUGGGGUAACGGCUCACCCAGGCGACGAUCCCUAGCUGGUCUGAGAGGCUGACAAUGCAACCUGUAACUGAGGCACGGUCCAUACUCCUACGCGAGGCAGCAGUGGAGAAGAUUGAACAAUUGGCGAAAGCCUGAUGCAGCCAUGCCGCGUGUAUGAAGAAGGCCUUCGGGUUGUAAAGUACUUUCAGUGGUGAGGCGUUACCCGCAGAAGAAGCACCGGCUAACUCCGUGCCAGCAGCCGCGGUAAUUC
Molecule: ribosomal RNA, 406 nt
Filed under: uncultured bacterium
Lineage: Bacteria
Description: partial 16S ribosomal RNA
Rfam family: Bacterial small subunit ribosomal RNA
Source: RNAcentral